CUUGUUUCCGAGGCAAAGACACACUAAACCACCCAAAUGUCUCGGCAGAAAUCAGAUCAAUCUGGAAACACUGACUUGUCGCACGUGUCUGCACCCUGCCGAUUCAAACAGACGCUCCGCUUCAUUCAUCACGAGCCAAAUUGGCUAGAAUCUUUAAAAUGUUACUCGCUAAUCACAAUUUUC
Molecule: long non-coding RNA, 183 nt
Organism: Etheostoma cragini (Arkansas darter)
Lineage: Eukaryota; Metazoa; Chordata; Actinopteri; Perciformes; Percidae
Exons: 3
Source: RefSeq, a predicted model, not a curated record